This is a non-coding RNA of Triticum urartu, 126 nucleotides long. The record is from Rfam. NCBI's taxonomy places the organism in Eukaryota, Viridiplantae, Streptophyta, Magnoliopsida, Poales, Poaceae.
AUAGUACUUUCUUCGUCCGAAAAAGAUUAACCCUCAAAUAGAUGUAUCUAGCAUCAAGGUAGUGCUAGAUACAUCCAUUUAAGAGACAAAAUUGGGACAAGUCUUUUCGGACGAAGGGAGUACCAU